Molecule: regulatory RNA element, 46 nt
Organism: Cavia porcellus (domestic guinea pig)
Lineage: Eukaryota; Metazoa; Chordata; Mammalia; Rodentia; Caviidae
Rfam family: Histone 3' UTR stem-loop
About the family: The mRNAs of metazoan histone genes lack a poly-A tail. 3' end processing occurs at a site between a highly conserved stem-loop (modelled by this family) and a purine rich region around 20 nts downstream (the histone downstream element, or HDE). The stem-loop is bound by a 31 kDa stem-loop binding protein (SLBP - also termed the histone hairpin binding protein, or HBP).
Source: Rfam
CCAAAGGCUCUUUUCAGAGCCACCAUCCUAUCAAAGAGAGAGCUGU